GAUGAACGCUGGCGGCGUGCCUAAUACAUGCCAGUCGAGCGAACGGACGAGAAGCUUGCUUCUCUGAUGUUAGCGGCGGACGGGUGAGUAACACGUGGAUAACCUACCUAUAAGACUGGGAUAACUUCGGGAAACCGUAGCUAAUACCGGAUAAUAUUUUGAACCGCAUGGUUCAAAAGUGAAAGACGGUCUUGCUGUCACUUAUAGAUGGAUCCGCGCUGCAUUAGAUAGUUGGUAAGGUAACGGCUUACCAAGGCAACGAUGCAUAGCCGACCUGAGAGGGUGAUCGGCCACACUGGAACUGAGACACGGUCCAGACUCCUACGGGAGGCAGCAGUAGGGAAUCUUCCGCAAUGGGCGAAAGCCUGACGGAGCAACGCCGCGUGAGUGAUGAAGGUCUUCGGAUCGUAAAACUCUGUUAUUAGGGAAGAACAUAUGUGUAAGUAACUGUGCACAUCUUGACGGUACCUAAUCAGAAAGCCACGGCUAACUACGUG
This 497-nucleotide ribosomal RNA is filed under the name uncultured bacterium. RNAcentral describes it as "partial 16S ribosomal RNA". It matches the Rfam family "Bacterial small subunit ribosomal RNA", at positions 28 to 507 of the family's 1533-position model. The record is from RNAcentral.